This 373-nucleotide ribosomal RNA is filed under the name uncultured organism. Its description in RNAcentral is "bacterial SSU rRNA". It matches the Rfam family "Bacterial small subunit ribosomal RNA", at positions 526 to 896 of the family's 1533-position model. The record is from RNAcentral.
CGUAGGGACCGAGCGUUGUCCGGAUUCAUUGGGCGUAAAGAGCUCGUAGGCGGCUGUUCAAGUCGAACGUGAAAACUCGGGGCUCAACUCCGAGCCUGCGUUCGAUACUGGAUGGCUAGAGUCUGGUAGGGGGAUCUGGAAUUCCUGGUGUAGCGGUGGAAUGCGCAGAUAUCAGGAGGAACACCGGUGGCGAAGGCGGGAUCCUGGGCCAGUACUGACGCUGAGGAGCGAAAGCGUGGGGAGCAAACAGGAUUAGAUACCCUGGUAGUCCACGCCGUAAACGAUGGGCGCUAGGUGUGGGAGGUCAUCGGCUCCUUCCGUGCCGCAGCUAACGCAUUAAGCGCCCCGCCUGGGGAGUACGGCCGCAAGGCUA